UACGGAGGGUGCAAGCGUUAUCCGGAUUUAUUGGGUUUAAAGGGUACGUAGGCGGUGGAGUAAGUCAGUGGUGAAAGCCAACAGCUCAACUGUUGAACUGCCAUUGAUACUGCUUCACUUGAGUGCAGUUGAGGUGGGUGGAAUUCCAUGUGUAACGGUGAAAUGCUUAGAUAUAUGGAGGAACACCGAUAACGAAGGUAACUCACUAAACUGUAACUGACGCUGAGGUACGAAAGCGUGGGAGCAAACGGG
This 252-nucleotide ribosomal RNA is filed under the name uncultured bacterium. Its description in RNAcentral is "partial 16S ribosomal RNA". It matches the Rfam family "Bacterial small subunit ribosomal RNA", at positions 524 to 776 of the family's 1533-position model. The record is from RNAcentral.